GACGAACGCUGGCGGCGUGCCUAAUACAUGCAAGUUGAGCGAUGAAGAUUGGUGCUUGCACCAAUUUGAAGAGCAGCGAACGGGUGAGUAACGCGUGGGGAAUCUGCCUUUGAGCGGGGGACAACAUUUGGAAACGAAUGCUAAUACCGCAUAACAACUUUAAACAUAAGUUUUAAGUUUGAAAGUUGCAAUUGCAUCACUCAAAGAUGAUCCCGCGUUGUAUUAGCUAGUUGGUGAGGUAAAGGCUCACCAAGGCGAUGAUACAUAGCCGACCUGAGAGGGUGAUCGGCCACAUUGGGACUGAGACACGGCCCAAACUCCUACGGGAGGCAGCAGUAGGGAAUCUUCGGCAAUGGACGAAAGUCUGACCGAGCAACGCCGCGUGAGUGAAGAAGGUUUUCGGAUCGUAAAACUCUGUUGGUAGAGAAGAACGUUGGUGAGAGUGGAAAGCUCAUCAAGUGACGGUAACUACCCAGAAAGGGACGGCUAACUACGUG
This 497-nucleotide ribosomal RNA is filed under the name uncultured bacterium. RNAcentral's name for it is "partial 16S ribosomal RNA". It matches the Rfam family "Bacterial small subunit ribosomal RNA", at positions 28 to 507 of the family's 1533-position model. The record is from RNAcentral.